GAUGAACGCUGGCGGCGUGCCUAAUACAUGCAAGUCGAGCGAACAGACGAGGAGCUUGCUCCUCUGACGUUAGCGGCGGACGGGUGAGUAACACGUGGAUAACCUACCUAUAAGACUGGGAUAACUUCGGGAAACCGGAGCUAAUACCGGAUAAUAUAUUGAACCGCAUGGUUCAAUAGUGAAAGACGGUUUUGCUGUCACUUAUAGAUGGAUCCGCGCCGCAUUAGCUUGUUGGUAAGGUAACGGCUUACCAAGGCAACGAUGCGUAGCCGACCUGAGAGGGUGAUCGGCCACACUGGAACUGAGACACGGUCCAGACUCCUACGGGAGGCAGCAGUAGGGAAUCUUCCGCAAUGGGCGAAAGCCUGACGGAGCAACGCCGCGUGAGUGAUGAAGGUCUUCGGAUCGUAAAGCUCUGUUAUUAGGGAAGAACAAAUGUGUAAGUAACUAUGCACGUCUUGACGGUACCUAAUCAGAAAGCCACGGCUAACUACGUG
This 497-nucleotide ribosomal RNA is filed under the name uncultured bacterium. RNAcentral's name for it is "partial 16S ribosomal RNA". It matches the Rfam family "Bacterial small subunit ribosomal RNA", at positions 28 to 507 of the family's 1533-position model. The record is from RNAcentral.